RNAcentral lists this long non-coding RNA (4010 nucleotides) under Canis lupus familiaris (dog). Its description in RNAcentral is "lncRNA (ENSCAFG00845000355.1)". Lineage: Eukaryota; Metazoa; Chordata; Mammalia; Carnivora; Canidae. The record is from RNAcentral.
AUGUAAACAACCGUGUACAAAGCAGGACUUAAAAAUGGCUUUUAAGAAGUCGUUUUAAAAAGAGUAAGAAUAUUUUGAUAAAAUAGUCAAAUCUGUUACAUAAUCAUUUUCACCUUGAUGUGGGGUUGGUGAAGUGGCAUAACAUACCAUAAGAAACACAUCUUGGUGUUUCUUCAUAGACAACUUGGUGGCUUUUACUUAACUUUAACAUGUUAGGUAAAUCUUUAAUCAGAUUUUACUCUCAGCUUUGAAACAUUCAGGGUAUUUUAAUGCAGGUGUCUAACUUUUUACUUUGCUCAAGAAAUUAAGCAUAUAAAGCUAAGUCUGCUCCUUCUUACAUUCAAUAUGCUUUAUCGAAUAAUAUUUCUGAUGGUACAGCUGUUACUAGGGAUUCUGAUUAAACUUCUGGAGAGUAACUGCUUGAAGAUCAUAAUGCAAAAAACAAAACAAAAAAGAUCGUAAUGCAUCUGUGAUGGUUCACUGCAUAUUAAAAAUAGGUCUAUUAAACCUAUAAGUAAGGUUUUCACUUAUUCAUGAAUCAGUGUAUUUAAAGAUCAACUGUUAAUGAAAUUAAACCUAAGUGUUUGAUAUAUAUUAAAAAUGGCUGUAGUGAUAUUUUAACUGUCACACACACACACACACACACACACUAUGAAUGAAUGGUCAGCAUCAUCAAGUACCUAAGAUGCUGCCAGUCCAAACUGCAAUUAAAGUUUACACAAGGGACACCUGGGUGGCUCAGCAGUUGAGCAUUUGCCUUCAGCUCAGGUCGUGAUCCCGCAGUCCCAGGAUCGAGUCCCACAUCGGGCUCCCCACAUGGGGCCUGCUUCUCUCUCUGCCUAUGUCUCUGCCUCUCUCCCUCUCACUCUGUGUCUCUCAUGAAUAAAUAAAUAAAAUAUUUUUAAAAAGUUUACAGAAACAGUAAAGAAAUAUUUAAGUCCAAAGAUUCCUUCCUUCACAAAAUUUUUUGCUUUCUUGCACUAGUGUAUUUUCCUUAAGUUAAAUAUAAAAGGAUCUAUUUUCUGUUAUAGCAAAAUAUGAUUAGACAGUUGUUUCAGAUGUGUUUUCAAUCAGAUUGUUUCAAAGCUGUCUCAAGGAAAUAGACUAAAUGUAUAUUAUUACUUGGGCUUUAGAAUCUGUAGAAAGCCACCGGUUUUCAGUACGACAUAAUCCUACUGUAUAGACUAAAGCUUUAAUAGUAAUUAAAAUGUAAACGUUAUAGUAUUUUUCUUCUUCAUUUUGUAAUAGUCAAAUAAGAUUUACAUCUAAACAAUUUCAAACAUGCCUUUAUUUUCUGAAAGUACACUGACUUUAAUCCAGAAAUGUAAACAUCUCUGGAUCUGAAAAUUCAGUAUGUAUAUGGGGCUUAACAAACGAUUUCCUUGACAGUAGAUGCUUCAUUACACUGAAAGGAUCAGCGGUUCGCUUGUUUGUAACCUGGAGUUCAGAAUUCAGAAUAGGAGGGUUACAGGAGUGGUACUGCCUCAGGUUAGAGUUGAACAGUAAUGGGCUGAACCCUUUAUUAAAGACAUACUGCUUCUUUGCUAAGCAGUAGAAUUAGGGCACAAGAUACCAUCAUUAGGAUUAGAUGAGCAGUAACAGUUUUCCUGGGAUGCCAAGGCUGAGGCACCUACAAGAGGACAAUGCAAAAGGAGGAAUAAAGGGUGUGGAUUUGGAGGAACUUAAGGGCUACUGGUCUUAAAAGUUCAGAGGACCCACUCCUGUUGACAAGUAUUUCUUUAAAACGGGCCCACAAUCUUCAUUAAUGAACAGCAGUUAGUGUAACUCAAUCCAUGCAAAUCAGUCUUUGUAAAAAAAAAAAUCAGUUCUCAUAAAGUAGUAGGUAGGUAUACAAUACUCUCCAUUAAUAUAACUGGCUUUUGAUAUAACCAGAGAAUUAAAAAGCUUUAGAAAUACUGAGACAAACUUCUCACUCAUGAGAGGCAAUUAUUGCGAUUGUUAUUCAACAGAAAAGUGGUAUCAUUGUGCUCAUUAGUCUGUGUAGAGGAAGACAAGUUUUUUCCACAGUUGUUACUAAAAUAUAGUCUACAUUGCAGGAAUAUAUGGAAAUACAACAGCAGCACAUUAAGUCUUUAAGUCAUGAUGAACAGUUUAUGCAAAGAGGUGCCAGGUUUGUUGCACCACAUUUUGUAUUUGUAUGAAGAAUAUUCUUGCCUUAGUGGCUCACUGAAACAAGUUAUGUUUUCAUCAUUAAUUUACUCAGAAUUUAUUAGCGAACCCAAAGUUUCACUGGUCUUAUUGAACUAAAUUAAGAGAGUAGCAUAUUGCUAUUUUGGCCUGUAACAAUUCAGCUAUUCUUUUGAAAAGCACCUUAGUUUUUUUCAUUCAAUCUGUUUGUAUUUGAGAACUUUAAAGUUUGGAAAAACAAUUACUCCUUUUUUACUGUCCUACUGCCAGUAUGAGUUUGUCGGUUUAAUGUACUCCAGGUUGUAUUAUAUAGCAUAUACAGCACUAUCAACAAUCUAGGUCAAUUAACUUUUUGCUAUUAAUUCAGAAUAGGCAUGUGACUGAUAACCAUACACAUUCAUUACUCUGUUAUUAAAUAAAUUCAUUUUGUGAACAUUUUUCUAAGAAAAUCAUCAUUUGCAUAUCUAGGAUUCAUUUUUAAACCGAAUAGCAUGAAGAUCUGCUUCAAACUGCCCCCAAGGCAUAUUAAACUAUACCAGAAUGUGAAGCUACCAUAAAACGUCAAUAAUCCUGUCUCAGGUUUUAGAAGAGUGGCAUUUCGCAUUGAAUAAGCAUCUUGUAUUUUGUUUUUAAAAAAAAUCAUCAAGAAUUUGCUUUUUUAUUCUAUUUAAAAAAUUGGGAACAAACAUUCCUUCACUCUGGGCCAUAGUAACCCAGUGUGCACAAAGAGGCAAAGGCACAUACUGUUUCUCUACAGGGUCAACACUUUCCGCCAAUAGCAAAUCUCCCCUUAUUGCAGACCUUAGAACUGGAUUGCCAUUUGGGCAAGUCAAUCAAGAGGGCUUAGACAACAGCUGGGCAGAUUUUAAUGUGUUUAUUUCUACAGUUUGUUUUUAUUAAAAGUGUUGUGAAAAAGGAAUCCUAUAAAUAGUAAAAAGAGGGAAACAAUAGUGCUCCAUAGCCUGAAGCAAAUGGUGUAAAUACAUUUGUAAACAAGGUAAAGUUGCUGAGCUUACUAAAAGGACAAAAAUAAAACUAAUUACAGAUAGCACAACUGUUUAAGAGGUUAGGAAGUAUUUUGUCCCAAGUUUUGGUGUUCUAAAAUGGCCAGCAGUACAGGUAAUUCUCUAUUCUGUAGCCUUGAUCGUCUGUGCCUUCUCUCUUCCUAUAGAAAACCACACUGGAUGAAGCAAACAGUGACUCUACUAUUCUGAGGGGUUUUGAGAACACUGCCACCAAAACACAGCUGGAACCACCAGCCUCCUGGAACAUUAGAGCUCCUGAGAGAAUUUGAAACAGUCAUCAACAUUUUUCUCUAUUUUUGCAGGAAAAUACUGGAAGUAAACAGGGGCAUGGAAUUCAACAGCUGGCUAGGGGUGUUUUACAUUCAGUUGUUUGGAAGCAUAGGAUUCAGCUCCUAUCAAUCUUCUCAUCAGAAAACACAGAAUUACCCUAUCACCUCUUAAAGCACACUAAGACAAAAAGUCAUUUGAAGAUAAUAUAGUUUUUGCAUUAAAGGUCAAUCUGCAUCAAGAAAUCUGUUCAACUCACAGAUCUAGAGACUCACGGGAAAGAUAAUCUGUAAGUGACCUCUUGUCACUGAGAUAUGCAGGUGCUGAAUUUCUUAGUAGACGCUGCCAGAGUAAACCAGAUGUGGCUACUGGGCAAGAGGAGGGAAGAAAUUAAAUCUUGUCCUCUACAUGCAUAGUUUUGUUUGGGGGGUGAUGCCCCAACUCUGGAAAAAAGAUUUAACUGCCACAGAGAACUAAUUCGGCAGGGCAGCUCACUUUAAAUAGUAGCUCAUCUUUUUAAGCCUAGUUUUUACCAAUGACUUGAACUAAAAACAAUUCAAACCACUGGGU